AUAACGCACAUAUGCUGGAAUGCUUUAUGCGUAAAAUGGAUUCGUCUGCCCAAGGAUGGGUCUGCGGCCUAUCAGGUAGUAGUGGGUGUAAUGUACCUACUAGCCUACGACGGGUACGGGUUGUGAGAGCAAGAGCCCGGAGAUGGAUUCUGAGACAUGAAUCCAGGCCCUACGGGGCGCAGCAGGCGCGAAAACUUUACAAUGCGGGAAACCGUGAUAAGGGGACACCGAGUGCCAGCAUCCUAUGCUGGCUGUCCAGGUGUGCAAAAUACACCUGUUAGCAAGGGCCGGGCAAGACCGGUGCCAGCCGCCGCGGUAACACCGGCGGCCCGAGUGGUGAUCGUGAUUAUUGGGUCUAAAGGGUCCGUAGCCGGUUUGGUCAGUCCUCCGGGAAAUCUGACAGCUCAACUGUUAGGCUUUCGGAGGAUACUGCCAGACUUGGAACCGGGAGAGGUAAGAGGUACUACAGGGGUAGGAGUGAAAUCUUGUAAUCCCUGUGGGACCACCUGUGGCGAAGGCGUCUUACCAGAACGGGUUCGACGGUGAGGGACGAAAGCUGGGGGCACGAACCGGAUUAGAUACCCGGGUAGUCCUAGCCGUAAACGAUGCGAGCUAGGUGUCACGUGGAUUGCGAAUCCAUGUGGUGCCGAAGGGAAACCGUGAAGCUCGCCGCCUGGGAAGUACGGCCGCAAGGCUGAAACUUAAAGGAA
This 710-nucleotide ribosomal RNA is filed under the name uncultured archaeon. RNAcentral's name for it is "bacterial SSU rRNA". It matches the Rfam family "Archaeal small subunit ribosomal RNA", at positions 156 to 864 of the family's 1478-position model. The record is from RNAcentral.